RNAcentral lists this ribosomal RNA (534 nucleotides) under Streptococcus sp. M40. Its description in RNAcentral is "bacterial SSU rRNA". It matches the Rfam family "Bacterial small subunit ribosomal RNA", at positions 8 to 521 of the family's 1533-position model. Lineage: Bacteria; Bacillati; Bacillota; Bacilli; Lactobacillales; Streptococcaceae. The record is from RNAcentral.
AGAGUUUGAUCCUGGCUCAGGAUGAACGCUGGCGGCAUGCCUAAUACAUGCAAGUCGAACGGACGGAAGAGAAAAGCUUGCUUUUUUUGGAAGUCAGUGGCGAACGGGUGAGUAACACGUAGGUAACCUGCCCAUGUGCCCGGGAUAAUUUCUGGAAACGGAAACUAAAACCGGAUAGGUAGGGAUCUCGCAUGAGGACCUUAUUAAAGGGGCUACGGCCCUGAACAUGGAUGGACCUGCGGUGCAUUAGCUAGUUGGUGGGGCAACGGCCUACCAAGGCGACGAUGCAUAGCCGACCUGAGAGGGCGAACGGCCACAUUGGGACUGAGACACGGCCCAAACUCCUACGGGAGGCAGCAGUAGGGAAUUUUCGUCAAUGGGGGGAACCCUGAACGAGCAAUGCCGCGUGAGUGAAGACGGUUUUCGGACUGUAAAGCUCUGUUGUAAGAGAAAAACGGCCGACAUAGGGAAUGAUGUCGGAGUGAUGGUAUCUUACCAGAAAGUCACGGCUAACUACGUGCCAGCAGCCGCGGU